GGGGAUUUGGCUCAGUGGUAGAGCACUUGCCUAGCAAGCACAAGGCCCUGGGUUCGGUCCCCAGUUCCG
RNAcentral lists this transfer RNA (69 nucleotides) under Rattus norvegicus (Norway rat). It matches the Rfam family "tRNA". From Rfam's summary of the family: Transfer RNA (tRNA) molecules are approximately 80 nucleotides in length. Their secondary structure includes four short double-helical elements and three loops (D, anti-codon, and T loops). Further hydrogen bonds mediate the characteristic L-shaped molecular structure. tRNAs have two regions of fundamental functional importance: the anti-codon, which is responsible for specific mRNA codon recognition, and the 3' end, to which the tRNAs corresponding amino acid is attached (by aminoacyl-tRNA synthetases). tRNAs cope with the degeneracy of the genetic code in two manners: having more than one tRNA (with a specific anti-codon) for a particular amino acid; and 'wobble' base-pairing, i.e. permitting non-standard base-pairing at the 3rd anti-codon position. The record is from Rfam by way of RNAcentral. Lineage: Eukaryota; Metazoa; Chordata; Mammalia; Rodentia; Muridae.